CCUACGGGCGGCAGCAGUGAGGAAUAUUGGUCAAUGGGCGUAAGCCUGAACCAGCCAAGCCGCGUGAGGGAUGAAGGUUCUAUGGAUCGUAAACUUCUUUUAUAAGGGAAUAAAGUGCGGGUCGUGACCCGUUUUGUAGGUACCUUAUGAAUAAGGAUCGGCUAACUCCGUGCCAGCAGCCGCGGUAAUACGGAGGAUCCGAGCGUUAUCCGGAUUUAUUGGGUUUAAAGGGUGCGUUGGCGGGCUUGUAAGUCAGCGGUGAAAAUCCCGGGCUCAACCCCGGACGAGCCGUUGAAACUGGCAGGCUUGAGUAUGAUGGAGGCAGGCGGAAUGCGUGGUGUAGCGGUGAAAUGCUUAGAUAUUGCGCAGAACCCCGAGUGCGAAGGCAGCCUACC
Molecule: ribosomal RNA, 395 nt
Filed under: uncultured bacterium
Lineage: Bacteria
Description: partial 16S ribosomal RNA
Rfam family: Bacterial small subunit ribosomal RNA
Source: RNAcentral